ACUGUCCAGUGAGCACCCUGCUCCUCAUGAGACCAUGGCAGACUCUCAGCCAGGCACUGAGCACAUCCCUCCCUGUGAUGUCACAGGCUCGCUGAGGAGGCGAUUGGCCUCGGCCAAUAACCACCCUGUCCUUCCCAUGGUCACCCAGAACCCAGCCAGCGACCGCCAUUGCUCUCCCAGGACAUCACAGGGCCGAGCCAAUGGGCUCACACACUGGCCCUAGGCUCCAGUGUCAGCCACGCAGCACCGCCCUUUCCGUGAGGUCACACAGCACCCAGCCAAUGGUCACGCUCUCUCCGAGUGAGGUCAGAGGCUGGCCAUGGCGUCAGAGAGCAGCGGUGCCCGGCCGGGGCUCCCUCCCGCCACGUGCCGUUAAUGAGGGGCGCUAAUUAACGGUGCCGGUCGCCGUGGGCGGAGGGACGCGCCGCCACCGCCGGUCCCCUGCUGCCACCCUGCGGCUGCCACGGCCCGGACCCCCCCUCGGGGGGACCCCAGCGGGGACCAAAAGUUGUCCCUGGGCACGCCAGCCCUGGCGGAGCCGAGCCCGGGCAGUGCUGGCGGCUGCUUUUUAUGGGCUGUGAGUCAACUCACACGCGCUAAAUCCUAAAAUAAACGUGAAACUGGGUCCAGCCUCACCUCGGAGCGCACCGAAAUAGCAACCGGCUCCAACAAGCCCCAGGAACAAGGGAGCUCAGCGCCUUCCCCACCCCUUCUGUAGCCCCCAGCCCAGGGAAGGGGAUGCUGGCGCUGGAGGUCACUGCUGUCCCCUGAGGAGCAGGUGUGGGGUGCAGAAGGUCUACCACGGCAGCAAAAGAGCUCUGGAGGAUAUGAAAGGACUGAGUAAGAGAAUAAAACAGCUUCAGUUCUGGGCAGGGUAACAGAUGUGCGAUAAACCAGAACAAAAACACAUCAGAAACAACCCAGCAGCAGCAAGUCUAUGGAAGGCAACCCGAAACAUCCACCUUGAAUGCAGCAGAGGUUGGAGCAGCUGCCAGCAACAGCACUGGUGCAGCCCUGCUUCAGGUGUGGAUCUCCUGUUCCACGGCUCCAAGCUGAAGAACCCAGACAUGUUCAACCCCACCAGCCUCC
Molecule: long non-coding RNA, 1089 nt
Organism: Vidua chalybeata
Lineage: Eukaryota; Metazoa; Chordata; Aves; Passeriformes; Viduidae
Exons: 3
Source: RefSeq, a predicted model, not a curated record